CAGUCGCCGCGGUAAUACGUAGGGUGCAAGCGUUAAUCGGAAUUACUGGGCGUAAAGCGUGCGCAGGCGGUUAUAUGAGUCAGAUGUGAAAUCCCCGGGCUCAACCUGGGAACUGCAUUUGAGACUGUAUGGCUAGAGUGUGUCAGAGGGGGGUAGAAUUCCACGUGUAGCAGUGAAAUGCGUAGAUAUGUGGAGGAAUACCGAUGGCGAAGGCAGCCCCCUGGGAUAACACUGACGCUCAUGCACGAAAGCGUGGGGAGCAAACAGGAUUAGAGACCCCUGUAGUCCCUGUCUCUUAUAC
This 301-nucleotide ribosomal RNA is filed under the name uncultured bacterium. RNAcentral describes it as "partial 16S ribosomal RNA". It matches the Rfam family "Bacterial small subunit ribosomal RNA", at positions 509 to 807 of the family's 1533-position model. The record is from RNAcentral.